RNAcentral lists this transfer RNA (71 nucleotides) under Camelus bactrianus (Bactrian camel). It matches the Rfam family "tRNA". From Rfam's summary of the family: Transfer RNA (tRNA) molecules are approximately 80 nucleotides in length. Their secondary structure includes four short double-helical elements and three loops (D, anti-codon, and T loops). Further hydrogen bonds mediate the characteristic L-shaped molecular structure. tRNAs have two regions of fundamental functional importance: the anti-codon, which is responsible for specific mRNA codon recognition, and the 3' end, to which the tRNAs corresponding amino acid is attached (by aminoacyl-tRNA synthetases). tRNAs cope with the degeneracy of the genetic code in two manners: having more than one tRNA (with a specific anti-codon) for a particular amino acid; and 'wobble' base-pairing, i.e. permitting non-standard base-pairing at the 3rd anti-codon position. The record is from Rfam by way of RNAcentral. Lineage: Eukaryota; Metazoa; Chordata; Mammalia; Artiodactyla; Camelidae. RNAcentral also lists the same sequence under 2 other names.
GAAGGUAUAGCUCAGUGGUAGAGUGUGUGCUUAGCAUGCGCAAGGUUGUGGGUUCAAUCUUUUUAGCCUCU